CUUUGAGCAAGACUCCCACCU
This 21-nucleotide non-coding RNA is filed under the name Rattus norvegicus (Norway rat). The record is from RNAcentral. Lineage: Eukaryota; Metazoa; Chordata; Mammalia; Rodentia; Muridae.